Molecule: ribosomal RNA, 482 nt
Filed under: uncultured bacterium
Lineage: Bacteria
Description: partial 16S ribosomal RNA
Rfam family: Bacterial small subunit ribosomal RNA
Source: RNAcentral
AUUGAACGCUGGCGGCAUGCCUUACACAUGCAAAUCGAACGGUAACGGGCCUUCGGGUGCCGACGAGUGGCGAACGGGUGAGUAAUACAUCGGAACGUGCCCGAUCGUGGGGGAUAACGAGGCGAAAGCUUUGCUAAUACCGCAUACGAUCUACGGAUGAAAGCAGGGGACCGCAAGGCCUUGCGCGGACGGAGCGGCCGAUGGCAGAUUAGGUAGUUGGUGGGAUAAAAGCUUACCAAGCCGACGAUCUGUAGCUGGUCUGAGAGGAUGAUCAGCCACACUGGGACUGAGACACGGCCCAGACUCCUACGGGAGGCAGCAGUGGGGAAUUUUGGACAAUGGGCGCAAGCCUGAUCCAGCCAUGCCGCGUGCAGGAUGAAGGCCUUCGGGUUGUAAACUGAUUUUGUACGGAACGAAAAGCCUUCUUUUAAUACAGGAGGGUCAUGACGGUACCGUAAGGAUAAGCACCGGCUAACUACGUG